RNAcentral lists this ribosomal RNA (440 nucleotides) under uncultured bacterium. Its description in RNAcentral is "partial 16S ribosomal RNA". It matches the Rfam family "Bacterial small subunit ribosomal RNA", at positions 338 to 795 of the family's 1533-position model. The record is from RNAcentral.
CCUACGGGAGGCUGCAGUGGGGAAUAUUGCACAAUGGGGGCAACCCUGAUGCAGCGACGCCGCGUGAGCGAUGAAGUCUUUCGGUAUGUAAAGCUCUAUCAGCAGAGAAGAAGAUGACGGUACCUGACUAAGAAGCCCCGGCUAACUACGUGCCAGCAGCCGCGGUAAUACGUAGGGGGCCAGCGUUAUCCGGAUUUACUGGGUGUAAAGGGAGCGUAGACGGCGAUGCAAGCCAGAUGUGAAAGCCCGGGGCUCAACCCCGGGACUGCAUUUGGAACUGGGUGGCUGGAGUGUCGGAGAGGCAGGCGGAAUUCCUAGUGUAGCGGUGAAAUGCGUAGAUAUUAGGAGGAACACCAGUGGCGAAGGCGGCCUGCUGGACGAUGACUGACGUUGAGGCUCGAAAGCGUGGGGAGCAAACAGGAUUAGAUACCCGUGUAGUC